UAAACGUCCCAGUUCGGAUUGUAGUCUGCAACCCGACUACAUGAAGCUGGAAUCGCUAGUAAUCGCGGAUCAGAAUGCCGCGGUGAAUACGUUCCCGGGCCUUGUACACACCGCCCGUCAAGUCAUGAAAGUGGGGUAGCACCCGAAGCCGGUGGCCCGACCCUCGUGGAGGGGAGCCGUCUAAGGUGAGACUCGUGAUUGGGACUAAGUCGUAACAAGGUAAC
This 224-nucleotide ribosomal RNA is filed under the name uncultured bacterium. RNAcentral describes it as "partial 16S ribosomal RNA". It matches the Rfam family "Bacterial small subunit ribosomal RNA", at positions 1277 to 1500 of the family's 1533-position model. The record is from RNAcentral.